RNAcentral lists this ribosomal RNA (452 nucleotides) under uncultured bacterium. RNAcentral describes it as "bacterial SSU rRNA". It matches the Rfam family "Bacterial small subunit ribosomal RNA", at positions 28 to 478 of the family's 1533-position model. The record is from RNAcentral.
GAUGAACGCUGGCGGCGUGCUUAACACAUGCAAGUCGAACGAAACACCUUAUCUGAUUUUCUUCGGAACUGAAGAUUUGGUGAUUGAGUGGCGGACGGGUGAGUAACGCGUGGGUAACCUGCCCUGUACAGGGGGAUAACAGUCAGAAAUGACUGCUAAUACCGCAUAAGACCACAGCACCGCAUGGUGCAGGGGUAAAAACUCCGGUGGUACAGGAUGGACCCGCGUCUGAUUAGCUGGUUGGUGAGGUAACGGCUCACCAAGGCGACGAUCAGUAGCCGGCUUGAGAGAGUGAACGGCCACAUUGGGACUGAGACACGGCCCAAACUCCUACGGGAGGCAGCAGUGGGGAAUAUUGCACAAUGGGGGAAACCCUGAUGCAGCGACGCCGCGUGAGUGAAGAAGUAUCUCGGUAUGUAAAGCUCUAUCAGCAGGGAAGAAAAUGACGGUAC